GCUGGGUAUGGUGGUGAGUGUCUGUAGUCCCAGUUACUGAGGAGGCUGAGGCAGGAGAAUCACUUGAACCCAGGAGAUGUAGUUUGCAGUGAGCCGAGAUCAUGCCACUGCAUUCCAGCCUGGGUGACAGAGUGAGACCCUGUCUCAA
RNAcentral lists this non-coding RNA (148 nucleotides) under Nomascus leucogenys (northern white-cheeked gibbon). Lineage: Eukaryota; Metazoa; Chordata; Mammalia; Primates; Hylobatidae. The record is from Rfam by way of RNAcentral.